CCCUGUCGGGUCAGCCCGGCUCUCCCUUGUCAUCUUGACCCCUAUCAUCUCUUCUGUGCAGGUCGGCUGAAGCACCAGGAACUGCAGGGAAGAUCGUCCGAAUGUAACCUGUAGGAUCUCGAGGACCGUAGGCCCGUGCAGGAAAAAUAAUCAAACGGUUAUCCAGAAGUUGGAAGCAGUUGAUGCGAUAUGAUACGGGAAAGGACGGCCCCCAUUUGAGAUUUGGAAGCAGUUGAUCCGAUAUGCUCACAGAAAAUCACUCCUCCUUCAAUAUCGGACUGUUUGCCGCAAUGCUGCAUGUGUGCUUCCUCCUGCAUUUCCAUGGCGAAACCCUAGACCUCUAGAAGGUUCCUUCAUUUACCUUCUUGAGGUUCCGAAAUCAAUCCAUUCGAUGAGAGCGAAGCUAGGUCAGUUUAUUUUGGAUGUCUAUUUUAACUAUAUUUUGACGAUCCGAGGGAUUUUUUGGUGAUUCUUCAAGCGUUUUAUGCAGAUCUGUUCUUCAAUUUCGUUAGAUCGACAUAUAGAUCAUGGUUAUUUUCUCUGUCUGAAUAUUAGGGUUUCCGCAAAUUAGUAGUAGUGUUGCGUUUUAUGCUUCUCCGAUUUCUGCAAAGAAGGUUUUUUUAUUUUGGGUUGUAGCAGGUUGAGAUCAGCAGCUCGUAUUCCUGAUUUCUUGGGCUCUAGGACUGCUGUUCGCUUUUGUUUGUUUCCAUGGCGGAGCACUUAGCUUCAAUCUUCGGCACUGAAAAGGACCGAGUGAAUUGCCCCUUUUAUUUCAAAAUCGGUGCUUGCCGCCACGGCGAUAGAUGCUCUCGUCUUCACAAUCGGCCCACCAUUUCCCCAACUCUUCUUCUAUCAAACAUGUACCAGCGGCCAGAUAUGAUCACCCCUGGUGUUGAUCCCCAAGGACAGCCUAUCGACCCUCGGAAGAUUCAGGAACACUUUGAGGAUUUCUAUGAGGACAUCUUUGAGGAGCUCAACAAAUUCGGUGAGAUAGAGAGUUUGAAUAUCUGUGACAACCUCGCAGAUCAUAUGGUUGGUAACGUUUACGUCCAGUUCAAGGAGGAAGAUCAAGCGGCUGCAGCUUUGCGGGCUCUGCAGGGGCGUUUCUACUCUGGCCGCCCAAUCAUUGUCGAUUUUUCCCCAGUGACUGAUUUCCGUGAAGCUACUUGCCGGCAAUUUGAGGAGAAUAGCUGCAAUCGAGGGGGAUACUGUAAUUUCAUGCAUGUGAAGCAGAUUUCAAGGGAAUUGAGGAGGAAGCUCUUUGGAAGGUAUCGUCGAUCAAGAGGUAGUCGUAGUCGCAGCAGGAGUGUGAGUCCUCCAUACCACCGUAGGGAAUCAGAUAGGCAUGGGGACUACCGUGAUCGGGACUACCGGAAUGGGAAUGGUUGGCGGAGCGGGGACAGAUAUGGAAGAUUCGACAACGACGGGGGAAGGCGACGGCAUGGGAGUCCAAGGCGAACCAGAAGCCCGAUAAGGGAAGGGAGUGAAGAACGGAGAGCAAGGAUCGAACAAUGGAACCGGGAGAGGGAGGAGAAUCUGCAGUGAUUGGGUUGUGAUGGUUGUUCCGUGGCUAUUUCUGUCUGCAGAGAAGUCAACAGGACAUGGAGCUCUUAUUGUCAUUGUUCUGCUAAUUGGUGCUGGUGGAGGAUGUUACAUAAAGAAUUCCUGGUGCUGCUUUGCUUUCUACUGUUUGCUGCCCUAAUCUGGUGGAUCGAUCUCCCUCACCUUUGACUUUCUGGGACUGAAGCUCUGGUCGUGGAUUCCCUAUCCUUGGGUGACUCACACCUUUGAGAGGGUACUUUGAAAUCCUUCACAGCUGUGAGAGCCAACACCUGCAACUGGCUGCAAUAACAUCUAUCAUCAGUUCUUGACUCAGAUCUUCUAUGUUGACUGCUGGGCUGUUCUUCCAAGCUGUUGGCUGUGGAAAACGAGAGAUCUUUGUGCUGCGACUCUUCCCCAGAAAUUUCAAAUCAAUCUGAGGUCAAACCAGCAAAGCAAUGAUGGAAAAAUUCUUAGAUGAGUCAAAAUGUUAAAGACUGUUUUGAGUGCCUCGCUCUCUGAAGAGAUUCCUCUUCUUGAGUUAAGACCUCUUUGCAAUUUCCCUUUGAAAUUCUCAGAAUUUACCAUAGUUUUGGUGCAACUUGUACCAUUCCUGACCCUCGAGUCCUGAAUCCUGAUGGAAGCAGAAGAAUAUCGAUUUCCGCCGGUGGAUGCUCUCUAGUCAAUUUGUACAGAUUGUAUUCUAUUUCUCUUACAUAGGCAAUUGAGAAAGAUAUGGCGGUUCAAUCGUCCUAUUGCAUUGGACUUCUAACUAAAUGAUCUGCCAGGGUGAGUCAUUUACAGCGGUUCUUAGAUCCUACUCUGGAAAAAUGCUGGUCAUGCUUGGGAGGUGAAGAUUGGGUUUUGGAUAGGAAUACAAGCCCUACCAGUGGAAAAAUGUUGCUGAUGCUAGGGAGUUGAAGAUUAGGGUUUGUCUAGAAUACAGGCACCAGCGAUGAUCAAGUCUGUUCAGUGAGAAUGUUUUCAGGAUCUGGGAUUAGGACUCUUGUUUUUGGGUUUAGACAUAUAUUGUAGUUACUGUUUACAGGAGCACUUGUUAUUUUGCAGCAGAGACCAGGGUUACAGGAUUAUCUAUCAUUGUCUGCCUGGUGAGAUGAUAUAAUCAGAUUUCUAGCUCCAGAUCCCAGGAAGAGGAUGCACUGAUGCAUGGUGUUCUGGCAAACCAAGUAUCCUCUUUGCUACCUAUUAGGCUUAGCUCUUGAGACUCUUGGGGAUCUGGUUCCCAUGGUUCUAUGUAUUGGUAUGCUAUAAGGGAUAUUGUUAUUGACGGGGCCUGAUACAGAUAAGGAUCGCCCAAACAUUCUGUUGUGAUCUA
This is an RNA transcript of Macadamia integrifolia, 2875 nucleotides long. It is a transcript of the gene named splicing factor U2af small subunit B-like, with no coding region annotated. The record is from RefSeq and is a predicted model, not a curated record. NCBI's taxonomy places the organism in Eukaryota, Viridiplantae, Streptophyta, Magnoliopsida, Proteales, Proteaceae. The transcript is spliced from 5 exons.